AUUGUAGUCUAGUUGGUUAGGAUACUCGGCUCUCACCCGAGAGACCCGAGUUCAAGUUUCGGCAAU
Molecule: non-coding RNA, 66 nt
Organism: Gossypium raimondii (Peruvian cotton)
Lineage: Eukaryota; Viridiplantae; Streptophyta; Magnoliopsida; Malvales; Malvaceae
Source: Rfam